RNAcentral lists this long non-coding RNA (1241 nucleotides) under Homo sapiens (human). RNAcentral's name for it is "HSALNT0362161". The stretch from base 1036 to 1144 matches the Rfam family "WT1 antisense RNA conserved region 1". The record is from RNAcentral. Lineage: Eukaryota; Metazoa; Chordata; Mammalia; Primates; Hominidae.
GAUUGCGAAUAGCGGGCUGGCUCUCGAGGCAGCUGGGCAGGUAGGGCGCGUUAGGAAACAUCCUGGCCUGGCCGGAUGACGCCUGGCUGGGCGGAGGAGGACCGAAGGGCCCGUAGCGACAGGCUCCGGCUGUGCCAGUGAACUGGCCGGAAAAGUGGACAGUGAAGGCGCUCAGGCACUGCUCCUCGUGCGGCUCCGCGCCGCCCCAGCUCGGCUCCUGUUUGAUGAAGGAGUGAGGCGGCGGCGGCGGGGGUGGCGGCGGAGCCGGUGGCGGCGCGGGGCCGCCCAACGACCCGUAAGCCGAAGCGCCCGGGGGCGCAAAGUCCAGCACCGGCGCCCACUGCGCCGCGCCGCUCACAGGCAGGGCACAGCCGCCGCCGCCACCCAGGGAGGGGACGGCGGGCAGCAGCGCGUUCAGGUCCCGCACGUCGGAGCCCAUUUGCUGCGGCUCAGACCCGGACGCCCCGCGGCUCCUCCGGCCCUGGAGACGUUCAGCGCUGGCCUCGGCGGCGCCUAACUUGGCCCAGAUGCCGCCCGGGUCCCGGACUCCCUGCUGCUCUGGCUGCUGUAGGCACCCAGGCCCGGAGCGGAGCGUGUGCUGAGACGCCGGCUCCGGGACACACGUGGAAGCCGGGUCCUGCAGCAAGAGGAAGUCCAGGAUCGCGGCGAGGAGACGGCGGGGCCCGGGCGCCUGGGCUGCCGUCCCGGCUCUGGGUGGGUGGGUGGGUGAAUGAGUAGGUGGGAGGGAGGGCGGGAAGUGGGGGAGCGGACAGGCGGUCGGGUUGCGGAGAGCCCCCGGGUGUGGGCGCUGCCUUGAACUCCUUACCCCAGCUGCCUGGCUGCCCUCAGCUUCCCAAAGCUCAAAUAAGAGGGGCCGGCGGCGCGGGGAAGAGGAGGAGCCAGGAGGCUCGGCCGCUCCAUUCACUCAGCAGCCCAAGCCCGGCCAGGCAGCGCGCGCUGCUCCUUGGGGGCGCCCUCGCAGCUGGGGUGAGGGCGGGUCCGAGGGAGCGUCCCUCUCGGAGACACCCUCCUCUUCAACCCAACACGCGCUCUCAGCUGGCCGGUGUGGCACAACCCUCCCCCCACCUCCCCUUCUUGGCCUUCGCCAGUGUGGGAGCCUCGUCUCACUGGAGAGUCCGUUCAGGCCCAGUAAGUAAAACAGGAUGCACAAACCUGGCUCUCAACUUGCUUACAGUCUGGCUGUGCUUCAGGACUUGGUCAUCAUUGAAGCAGGAUGUGCA